UGGCUGUCUGUUGUUUUUCCAGCCUGGUACUCAGCUGGGAACAAAUCUGUUUAUAGUCUGCAAUAAUAGCUGUGGUUUUCUUAAUCUCAGAUUCUGCCUUCUCCAGUUGCUUCCUGAAGACUUCCUUCAGCUGAGCAGUUUCCUCUUCCUGCUUCCGUUUCUCUUCCUCAGUCUCCACCAGUUUCUGUUUGGUCAGGAGAAGUUCUUUGUUCAGAACAUCUGCUUUGUCUU
RNAcentral lists this long non-coding RNA (231 nucleotides) under Gallus gallus (chicken). The record is from RNAcentral. Lineage: Eukaryota; Metazoa; Chordata; Aves; Galliformes; Phasianidae.